RNAcentral lists this long non-coding RNA (686 nucleotides) under Nilaparvata lugens (brown planthopper). RNAcentral's name for it is "uncharacterized LOC120349243". The record is from RNAcentral. Lineage: Eukaryota; Metazoa; Arthropoda; Insecta; Hemiptera; Delphacidae.
GCCAGCUAUGCCUAGAAAUCUGGAGGAAAGCAGCGACAACUGAGGCAAGCACACCUGCACGGAAGCGAAAUCGCGAAGAAGACUUGGACUCCGUCUCUAAAUAAAAAAACACCGAACUCAUAUUCAAGCCCACAGCCAAGUGUAUAGGCAUGAACGAUAAAAACUGGUCACCAUGAGGCUCACGGCGGAGCUCAUACAGGCUCACUAUCCUACCUCAACCCACUCAAGAGAGCGCGAACUAGAUCUUCGAGGACAGCGCAUCUCCGCCAUCGAGAAUCUCGCUGUCGCUGACCCUCACGAUGCGAUUGACUUUACCGACAAUGAUAUCGAAAUUUGGGCAACUUUCCUCUCUCGCCACGCUUGAACACGCUCCUCGUGGGACGCAAUAAAAUUCACAUCAUACAGGCUGGCAUGCCUACAUCUGUUCCCAACUUGAAAAACCUGGUGCUCGCUUCCAACAGCCUGGCUGAACUGGCUGAUCUGGACGUGCUCGGAAAAUUCUUGCGACUCAAACAGCUCGUCUUGACCGAUAACCCUGUCACCAAAAAGCAAUAUUACCGCUAUUGGGUCGUAUGGCGUUGCCUUCAGUGCGCUUCCUGGAUCACGAAAAAGUUAGACAGGCCGAGAGAGAGAAGAGCCGAGAAAUUUUUGGGACAGCUGAUCAGCCCAAGGCUUUAGCAUCUGAG